CAGACCUGAGAAAGUUCUUGAAGAUUGUUUGGGUCAUCCUUGUAAGCAAACUGUUCGUGGAUGGAACUCUGGUGACGCGUCUGGGAUAUGAUAUCGAGGAUGGAAAGGAGUUGCGGCAGACAGCUGUCAGCGACCAGAGAAGCAGUUUGAAGGUUGUGGAAGACACAGCACCCAUGCCUCUACGAGAGAUUACCCAAGAUGUCUUGCAAACCCGCAUUCGAGAUAAAAACAAAGGGCAAAGUAUGAAGGUAGUGGAAGUCACACCACCCAUGUCUCUACGAGAGAUUGCCCAAGGCAUCUUGCAAUCCUGCUUCCGAGAUAAAAUCAAAGGGCAAAGUAUGAAGAUUGUGGAAGUCACACCACCCAUGUCUCUGCGAGAGAUUACCCAAGGCAUCUUGC
Eublepharis macularius is the source of this 399-nucleotide long non-coding RNA. RefSeq lists it as uncharacterized. The transcript has 4 exons. Lineage: Eukaryota; Metazoa; Chordata; Lepidosauria; Squamata; Eublepharidae. The record is from RefSeq and is a predicted model, not a curated record.